GUCUACAUCCAUAACACCCUGAAUGCACCUGAUUGCAUCCGAUCUCAAAAGCUAAGCAGGGUUGGGCCUGGUUAAUACUUGGAUGGGAGACCGCCUGGGACUACCGGGUACUGUAGGCU
This 119-nucleotide ribosomal RNA is filed under the name Cebus imitator (Panamanian white-faced capuchin). The record is from RNAcentral. Lineage: Eukaryota; Metazoa; Chordata; Mammalia; Primates; Cebidae.